This 21-nucleotide unclassified non-coding RNA is filed under the name Mus musculus (house mouse). Its description in RNAcentral is "oocyte_clustered_small_RNA11450". Lineage: Eukaryota; Metazoa; Chordata; Mammalia; Rodentia; Muridae. The record is from RNAcentral.
UACUCUUACUGCGGCUCUUGU